This 873-nucleotide ribosomal RNA is filed under the name Enterococcus faecium. Its description in RNAcentral is "bacterial SSU rRNA". It matches the Rfam family "Bacterial small subunit ribosomal RNA", at positions 28 to 872 of the family's 1533-position model. Lineage: Bacteria; Bacillati; Bacillota; Bacilli; Lactobacillales; Enterococcaceae. The record is from RNAcentral.
GACGAACGCUGGCGGCGUGCCUAAUACAUGCAAGUCGAACGCUUCUUUUUCCACCGGAGCUUGCUCCACCGGAAAAAGAGGAGUGGCGAACGGGUGAGUAACACGUGGGUAACCUGCCCAUCAGAAGGGGAUAACACUUGGAAACAGGUGCUAAUACCGUAUAACAAUCAAAACCGCAUGGUUUUGAUUUGAAAGGCGCUUUCGGGUGUCGCUGAUGGAUGGACCCGCGGUGCAUUAGCUAGUUGGUGAGGUAACGGCUCACCAAGGCCACGAUGCAUAGCCGACCUGAGAGGGUGAUCGGCCACAUUGGGACUGAGACACGGCCCAAACUCCUACGGGAGGCAGCAGUAGGGAAUCUUCGGCAAUGGACGAAAGUCUGACCGAGCAACGCCGCGUGAGUGAAGAAGGUUUUCGGAUCGUAAAACUCUGUUGUUAGAGAAGAACAAGGAUGAGAGUAACUGUUCAUCCCUUGACGGUAUCUAACCAGAAAGCCACGGCUAACUACGUGCCAGCAGCCGCGGUAAUACGUAGGUGGCAAGCGUUGUCCGGAUUUAUUGGGCGUAAAGCGAGCGCAGGCGGUUUCUUAAGUCUGAUGUGAAAGCCCCCGGCUCAACCGGGGAGGGUCAUUGGAAACUGGGAGACUUGAGUGCAGAAGAGGAGAGUGGAAUUCCAUGUGUAGCGGUGAAAUGCGUAGAUAUAUGGAGGAACACCAGUGGCGAAGGCGGCUCUCUGGUCUGUAACUGACGCUGAGGCUCGAAAGCGUGGGGAGCAAACAGGAUUAGAUACCCUGGUAGUCCACGCCGUAAACGAUGAGUGCUAAGUGUUGGAGGGUUUCCGCCCUUCAGUGCUGCAGCUAACGCAUUAAGCAUCCGC